AGCAGCCGCGGUAAUUCCAGCUCCAAUAGCGUAUAUUAAAGUUGUUGCAGUUAAAAAGCUCGUAGUUGAAUUUCGGGAUCAAUGUUUCGGUCAUGCCCUUGGUAUGUACUGACAUUAUUGGUUUCUCACCUUCUAAAGAACCGUAAUGCCAUUAAUUUGGUGUCACGGGGAAUUAGGACUGUUACCUUGAAAAAAUUAGAGUGUUUAAAGCAGGCUCACGCCUGAAUACAUUAGCAUGGAAUAAUGAAAUAGGACAUCCGAUUCUAUUUUGUUGGUUUCUAGGAUCGAUGUAAUGAUUAAUAGGGAUAGUUGGGGGCAUUAGUAUUCAAUUGUCAGAGGUGAAAUUCUUGGAUUUAUCGAAGACUAACUACUGCGAAAGCAUUUGCCAAGGAUGUUUUCAUUAAUCAAGAACGAAAGUUAGGGGAUCGAAGACGAUCAGAUACCAUCGUAGUCUUAACCAUAAACUAUGCCGACUAGGGAUCGGAUGAUGUUAAUUUUUUAAUGACUCA
Molecule: ribosomal RNA, 509 nt
Filed under: uncultured glomeraceous AM fungus
Lineage: Eukaryota; Fungi; Glomeromycota; Glomeromycetes; Glomerales; Glomeraceae
Description: SSU rRNA
Rfam family: Eukaryotic small subunit ribosomal RNA
Source: RNAcentral